RNAcentral lists this ribosomal RNA (347 nucleotides) under uncultured bacterium. RNAcentral's name for it is "bacterial SSU rRNA". It matches the Rfam family "Bacterial small subunit ribosomal RNA", at positions 28 to 376 of the family's 1533-position model. The record is from RNAcentral.
GACGAACGCUGGCGGCGUGCUUAACACAUGCAAGUCGAGCGGUAAGGCCCUUUCGGGGGUACACGAGCGGCGAACGGGUGAGUAACACGUGGGUGACCUGCCCUCAGCUCUGGGAUAAGCCCGGGAAACUGGGUCUAAUACCGGAUAUGACUUCAUGACGCAUGUUGUGGAGUGGAAAGCCUUGUGCGGCUGAGGAUGGGCCCGCGGCCUAUCAGCUUGUUGGUGGGGUGANGGCCUACCAAGGCGACGACGGGUAGCCGGCCUGAGAGGGCGACCGGCCACACUGGGACUGAGAUACGGCCCAGACUCCUACGGGAGGCAGCAGUGGGGAAUCUUGCGCAAGUGGG